Molecule: transfer RNA, 71 nt
Filed under: Loxodonta africana (African savanna elephant)
Lineage: Eukaryota; Metazoa; Chordata; Mammalia; Proboscidea; Elephantidae
Rfam family: tRNA
About the family: Transfer RNA (tRNA) molecules are approximately 80 nucleotides in length.
Source: Rfam by way of RNAcentral
GCAGUGGUGGUUCAAAGGCAAAAUUCUCACCUUCCAUGUGGGACAUCCAGGUUUGAUUCCUGGCCAACGCU